This is a non-coding RNA of Manacus vitellinus (golden-collared manakin), 72 nucleotides long. The record is from Rfam. Lineage: Eukaryota; Metazoa; Chordata; Aves; Passeriformes; Pipridae.
CCCCUGGUGGUCUAGUGGUCAGGAUGCAGCACUCUCACCGCCGUGGCCCGGGUUCGAUUCCCGGUCAGGGGA